UCCUCACCACCUCUACAUUGCCUUCUCUGCACAAACGCCACAAAGUGCUUGGAACAGGCUUGCCUUGACAUUAGCACCUCUUUCCACUUUGAAAUCAUAGUCAAAAGAGAAAAUCCUCUGACAGACCCUUUGUGGGAAUUUCAAGUUCCAUAAAUAGACAGAAUUGUACCAAAUCAAAUGCUACAUGCCAGCUAAAGCAUUUGCCAGAAGUUUGCAGGGAAGGGCUAUGACACACGAAUUCAUUUUUAAGUAGGCAAGCAGUUUGUAAUUAACUGGAGAACAUUUCAUUCCUAAUCAACAUGUUUACCGAGCACCCACAGGGCGGCCCAGGGCCUGUCUUUAAGAUCCGUAUCCACGCCGGAGAACCGAGACAUCAGGCUUAUGGCUGGCGUUCCUAAAAAGUGCCGCAUACAGCCAACCGAAAGGUGCUUCCUCCAGGUUAACAUUACAGGUGUUUACGUUUACCUGCUCUAACCUUGCUCAAAACUGAGGGGCCCACACUUCGAGGACUGACUUUAGAUCCUGUAACACAUCUUUCUACUUUCGCAGGUGGCAAGUCUGCGCCUUGAGGGGUUUUGUCUACAAUUUUUCUUUUUUUUAAUAGUAUAUGUUUUCUGUUUGCAGAUGCGGCCCGAAUCACUUGGGGUCAAUGUGUCCUUUAACACAGAAGAAUAGGGCCAAGGUGGUCAUCAUCAUUGGCACCGUUGUCGCUGUUGUUGUUGCAGUUGUGGGGGACACAGUAACAGCGAGGCGUAAGUACUGCCCAGGGGGUAAGCUCUGCUCUGAGUACUUCAGGUUCAUUUAGAGCAGGUCUAUGAGGUGAGAGCAACUGGUAUUGUUCUAGCCAAUUUAGAGCUGAAAAAUUAAAGCACAGAAAGGCAGUGAAUUUACUCAGUGAUACAAGGGAGAUAAGUGGGCUUUAAGGUAACAAUGUUUUAUACUCCAGACUUAUGGGGGUCCUUAUUUUUAACAGGGUCUGCACCGGGGAAAAUUCUUCUCCUCUAAAAAACUCUUCCAAAUACUCAAAGCAGUGCUAUCAUGAGUCUCUGAUCUCCUGUAUUUUCCAAGGUGUCCUACUGUUGCUGCAGAUAAGAAAUGACAUGGGCCAGGGAUUUAGUUCAGUGGCACCAUGUCUGCCUCGAAAGCACAAGGUCCUAAGUUCAAUCUCCAGUGCCAAUAAAAAGAAAUGACACCCAGCAGUAAUGCUCUGCACAUCCCAGAAACAGGGCAUCACUUCUAACAAAAAGCUGUUUAAUGGUCUCCUGGUUCAUGCAACUUGAGACUUUGGGUGACACUGGAAAUCGGUGAUGUCUUCACGUGAGCUGGAAAGCAUGGAUAGGAUGUGGAAAGUCCCGCCUCCAAGCAGAAGAGCAGCUCCAUGCUCAGUGCCCAGGAUACUGAGGGUGCAGACGGGAAGCAGGAACUGGGGGUACGUGGGUGUGGACUGAGCUACACUCCCAGGAAGAGCUGACACACAGGCGCCACACCCCAGGUCACACAGGUGACGGACAACCUCUCCCUGUGAUUUCUGGGGGCAGAGUCGAUCAGAGGGCGAGAUGGGUAAGGAAAUUAGGGCGGAGAGCAGUGUGGGGACAGGCUGGCUGCCACCAGGAAAAGCGAGCACCCCGACACAUUUCCUAAAAAGUAAUUUGGGAACCAUCGUCUCUUUUAGACCUAGAGAUGGAAGGGGGAGGAGGGGAGGAGAUGGAAAGGGAAAUAAGAAAGAAUCAAGAUAUGUUCUGUGUUUGUACCUGCUCCCUAAGAUGAAUGCAAACCCUGGGUAGUGAAGACAUGUACUAAUAAUAAAAUUUAAAAAAAAAGACUGAUGAGCGGCGAACGCAGCAAUGCUGCCUUGGGAGAGCUCUCCCUGGAGCCUCCCAGCAUCACAGCAUGGCAGCUUCACUGAGCCUGGGCUGUUCUGAGCGUCUGUCUUAAAACCAAGCACUUGCCCCCCUGAGGCUUGCUGCAGGCUCUUUCCUCAGCCAUCACGCUGUGCCCCGAUCUUCUCAAGGAUUCCUCCCUCUUACAAUUCAUGCUUCCGCUUACAAGUGCUCUCUUUCGAGUCAUCUCUGCCUCCCCAAAGCAGCGUGAUGGCCCAGACAGGACACUGCUCAUUCUCAUUCUGCGCAUGCUGCUGGGCUACGUCCACCGGGCCGGGACAGGAAAGCCUUCCUCUGUGCUCUCUCCCGGCCCCGGCAGGUGAUGGGCGGGAAGCGCGGCAGGUGAACGAAGGAGCGCAUGAUUGACGGGUGAGUGACUGGCACCGCCUUCCCGUGCCUUCGCACAGCUUCACUGAUUCAAAGCACAAGCUGACGUCGCUCGGAAUGAGCCAUGUCACCACAAAGGCGGCCUGAUGUAUCUCGGAGGCUUGAUUUAAGAUCAUGUUUUGUUUGUUUGUUUUCAUGUAAAAGUUGCAUGACUCUGGAAUUUUGGCCAAAGUCAACAGCAGUAUAAAACAACAGAGAAACUAUGGAUAAAUUCCACAAAAAUGAUGUCCCCUCUCAGUCAAGAAUUCUUGUGCUUCUGCUUCUCAAAUGCAAAACGAUCUCUAGAUGUGGGUGUUCUUUUUCAGGCCUAGGAAACUAUGAAUGAUGAUGGGUGCCCUUCUUUGGUUUUUCCAAAACGUGUUUUAUAAACCAGGAGUGGAAGAGGAUAAACUAGAAAGCAUCAAAUCAGAGCCCCAAGCCUUUUCUGAACCUUACAAGGUGAUUGUUCUGUUAUUACUCCUUUCUCUGCUAUUAAUGUUUCCAACUUUUAUCCACCUUCACCGGGCAGCUAUCAAGGUUUGAUAAACCAUGUCAUAAAGCUCUCAAAAAGGACCUGAGUUUGAUCCCCAGUACCAAAAGAAAAACAAACAAAAAAUAAAGCUCUCAUAUUCCUAAGUAGAAGGAGACUCAGGAAAAUGAAGUGGUUUUUUUGUCUGUUUGUUUGUUUGUUUUACUUUAUCUCCAGAUGACUGCUAACAGAAACAGUGAUAUCCCAACAACCUCAAAAAGACAUUGGUUUCUCUUUCUCCUGAUUAGAGCUCAAAACUUAGAGUACUCCAGAGUAAAUUGACCAUCAAUAUGCAUGGUGAGCAAAUUGAAAGGCCAGAGAAAAUCACCACUUAUUGAAAUAAAUGAGGAGCCAUUAAUUUAAUUGGCUCAGAAAGGGACUGAAAUUCCCUAUCUGAAAAAGCAGGCCUCAACUAAAAGCAAACUUUAGCACCCAGUCAAUGAAAGAUGACUCUAAACUGAAGGUGCAUUUAUCAAGAGUGAGCACCUAAACCAGUCUUCAAAUACACUCCACUGUUUCAUCCACUAAUACCAUCAGUGGAGCAUUCAGUGACCAUGGAAGGAACAUACGUGAUCUGAACAUUUGCCUCACAUGGCACUGGAAGGACUGGGCUAUACAGACAGAUGAAUACCUACGGGUGAACAGGUUUGGGUGUGCGCGAGGGAGAAAGAGACAGACAGACAGUCCACUAAGACUCCACUGUGAAACAGUGAUGUCAACCCAAAAAGCACUUUGGCCAGGACUGCCCUUCAUCUGCAGGCUGCUCUGACCCUGUGAUCUUUCUAAGUUGGGAUCCUUGUUUUGAACAUAUAGAAUCAAUAUAAUAGGGAACAAUAGAAUGUAGAACUAAUUCUGCCUCCCCAGUUGCCGCUUCAUGGGAAAAGGAUUUCAUUCACAGAAACCAUGAGCCCCCACUGCUUCAGCAAGCUGUGCUGGGUAAGAG
RNAcentral lists this long non-coding RNA (3718 nucleotides) under Fukomys damarensis (Damara mole-rat). RNAcentral describes it as "lncRNA (ENSFDAG00000030995.1)". The record is from RNAcentral. Lineage: Eukaryota; Metazoa; Chordata; Mammalia; Rodentia; Bathyergidae.